Small nuclear RNA from Arvicanthis niloticus (Nile rat), 104 nucleotides. NCBI's taxonomy places the organism in Eukaryota, Metazoa, Chordata, Mammalia, Rodentia, Muridae. The record is from RefSeq and is a predicted model, not a curated record.
AUAUAAAAUAUAAAUAAAAUAUAAAAUAGGACUAUAACAGAGACUAUUGGCAUGGCCCCUGCACAAGGAUGACGCUCAAAUUUCGUGAAGUGUUGCAUAUUUUU